Molecule: non-coding RNA, 946 nt
Organism: Camellia sinensis
Lineage: Eukaryota; Viridiplantae; Streptophyta; Magnoliopsida; Ericales; Theaceae
Source: RefSeq, a predicted model, not a curated record
CCAAUAUCUAUUUACAUUGUUAUGUAAUUAUGCUUUAUUAAUAGAAAUAAAGAUGAUGGUUAGAGCUGUUAACUUACGAACACCUCACUCCGCCAAUGGGCUUUUGGUGUGCGAUGGAAAUUUAUUUUGGUAAUGUUUGGGUCUUGGAUUUGUGGGGAGGAAAAGAAAAUGAAGGGAAAAGUGAAAAUUUUAGCUUUAAUUUCAUUUACUUUCCUCAUUCAUUUUCGUUUCCCUCCAAAAAUCCAAGUUCCAAGCCCAAGAUGCGUGUUUUCUUUAUAUCAUAAUUUCAUAAUUUGGAUAGCAUAUUUAUGGAACAUAAUUGGUGUGGCAAAUAUAUUGAAAAGAUGCUGAGCCACUGCCAAAUGAACUUUGAAAUGUGUUAUAAUGCAUGUAGAUGUCAUGCAUUUGUGUCUGUUUGCCUGUUUGUCUGUCUGUGCUUCUAUGCAUAUUCAUACAUUGAUAAAGGACUCAUUUAAAAUUAUUUUACUAGCAAGGAGUCCGAUCUUAAAUGCCAUAUGAAGCUUCAUAUGAGAUGAUGAUUAUGUUGCUACGGUUUGGCAGAUGGAGUGGGACAUGAGUGGAAUGACACUAGCAACUACUGGAAGUGAAGGUGCCGUGAGGCUGUGGCAAUCUAACUUAAAUGGCAUUUGGCACGAGCAGGCAGCUUUUGAACCCACCACCUAGUCCCUGUUAUUCCGACUGAAUGGUUGCUAUUUCCUGUAUUUAUUUUGCCAGACUACAUAGCUUCAAAAAUUUUAAAUUACCAGCUCUUACGUAUAAAAUUUCUUCCCAGUAUACGCUUACUGGGUCUUUCUAGGCAGAGAUGGAGUGGAAUGUAGUCAUUGUCAUGGUCCUAUGUUUAUGUUGUAUGCAAGGUUUCUGAUGAAUUAGUGAAUUCUAAGGCUAUAGUCAUGGUUAUUUUUUUAUUUGAUUUAUUUUUGACCAA